Molecule: ribosomal RNA, 395 nt
Filed under: uncultured bacterium
Lineage: Bacteria
Description: bacterial SSU rRNA
Rfam family: Bacterial small subunit ribosomal RNA
Source: RNAcentral
GUGUCAGCCGCCGCGGUAAUACAGAGGGGGCUAGCGUUGUUCGGAAUCACUGGGUGUAAAGGGUGCGUAGGCGGUCAGUUAAGUCUGAUGUGAAAUCCCUCGGCUCAACUGGGGAACUGCAUUGGAAACUGGCUGGCUCGAGUACCGGAGAGGGAAUCGGAAUUCCUGGUGUAGCGGUGAAAUGCGUAGAUACCAGGAGGAACACCGGUGGCGAAGGCGGAUUCCUGGCCGAGUACUGACGCUGAGGCACGAAAGCGUGGGGAGCGAACGGGAUUAGAUACCCCGGUAGUCCACGCCCUAAACGAUGGGUACUAGAUGUUGGGGGUAUCGACCCCCUCAGUGUCGUAGCUAACGCGUUAAGUACCCCACCUGGGGAGUACGUUCGCAAGAAUGAA